GGUAAUAGCUCAGUGGUAGAGUGCAUGCUUAGCAUGCAUGAGGUCCUGGGUUCAAUCCCCAGUACUUCCA
Molecule: transfer RNA, 70 nt
Filed under: Camelus bactrianus (Bactrian camel)
Lineage: Eukaryota; Metazoa; Chordata; Mammalia; Artiodactyla; Camelidae
Also listed under: 2 other names
Rfam family: tRNA
About the family: Transfer RNA (tRNA) molecules are approximately 80 nucleotides in length. Their secondary structure includes four short double-helical elements and three loops (D, anti-codon, and T loops). Further hydrogen bonds mediate the characteristic L-shaped molecular structure. tRNAs have two regions of fundamental functional importance: the anti-codon, which is responsible for specific mRNA codon recognition, and the 3' end, to which the tRNAs corresponding amino acid is attached (by aminoacyl-tRNA synthetases). tRNAs cope with the degeneracy of the genetic code in two manners: having more than one tRNA (with a specific anti-codon) for a particular amino acid; and 'wobble' base-pairing, i.e. permitting non-standard base-pairing at the 3rd anti-codon position.
Source: Rfam by way of RNAcentral